Molecule: long non-coding RNA, 7804 nt
Filed under: Triticum aestivum (bread wheat)
Lineage: Eukaryota; Viridiplantae; Streptophyta; Magnoliopsida; Poales; Poaceae
Description: long non-coding RNA (TAES_LNC005230)
Source: RNAcentral
CUCCGAAGUAAGGUGGUGUUAUAAACGUGUCAAAUAACACACCAAAAACAUUAUGCCAGGGUUCAGAAUGCUUGCCUUUAAGUUGUGGAGGGGUGAGGUGCUCUCCAAAACUUUUGAAAGUUUCUUCUCUCUCUCCAAAAUCCUAUUUUAAAAUAUAUUUAAAUUAACACACAUUUCAAAAACAGUACAAAAAAGUUGUUUGGAAAAUUUUCAAAUAAAUCUUAAAAUAAACUAGACCAAAUUUGAGGAAGUUAGGAAAAAGAAUCAACUCAUUUGGAGUUAUAAUUAAAAAGUUAUAGCCAGUCAAAGUUCUGGUCAAAAACUGAUUUAAAUAAGACAGAGAAACGUUUCAGAGAGGAAUACGCUUUCGGAGCGCGGGAAACGUACUGGGCGGAUUACGCCUUCACUUAACCCACGUGGAUAGGCGCAGGGUCACUGACAGUGGGUCCAAGGGGCCCACUAGUCAGGUUUGACCAGUCUUCUCCCUCCUCUUUCUCUGUCCUGAGCGGAGGCGGAACUCCGGCGAUCGCCGCCGGCGAUUGGCGGCUCCGUUCGAGAAACCGAAGCCAUCCAAGGGCUCAGGGGUCGAGGCAGUCCCGCCGGUGGGUGUUACGGUCUCGGGGGUGGACGGGGUCGUCGGCGGUGAGUCUGGUGGCGGAGGGAGCUUCAGGAGCAGAGUGUGAUUGGGGCUACGAUGGUUCCCGAUCAAAAUCGAGUAGGGGGAUGGGUUCACGGUGGGAAGGGGGAGUUCUUGGUGGAGAGAACGGAUAGUGGGAGGCCUUGGUGGUGCUGGAAGAGCUGGGGCCAUGGCGGCGGCUGUUGUUGCCGGAGGUGGGGAAGAAGACCUCCCCCAGGUCGAUUGGCUACCACAAGAGAACUAGGGGAGCAUUCUAAGGUUGCCUGUGUGCUUGAAUGGGUUCGGGGCCUCCUUUUAUAGGCGUGGCAAGGCGGUUCCGUGGCGGCCGUGGAUAAGCUCUCCCGCGACCGCCAUUCUGUAGCUGCAGGGCUUCGUGGCGAGGCUGGGGAUGGCGGCAGGAGCUAGCGGACGAGCGGCUACUACUCCAAGGGCGAGCUGGCGAGCGGAGGUGGCUUGGGCGGCGCUGGCCAGCGCAGGAGCUGUCGGGCGGCGGUGGCGGCUAGCUGUUGGCUUGCCGGAGACGUGGCGAGGGCUGCGGGGUUCGUGGGGUGCAGAAGGGGACACGGCGCACUGGCUAUGGUCGGUCACGGACUGGAGUAAGUGCGGGGCGGGACGCGGCGGCGCGGGCGCACGUGCGUGCCAAACGCACGAUCUGGGCGCGCCUAGAGCACGCACGAAACGUGCUCGACGAAUUGCCAGAGCCUGCUACAGAGCUUGGGUGAGGCUGGCAAUUAACAGACCCAGGCUAGGGGAAACUGGGAGCCUAGUGGACAUGUUAGUUUGAUCAAAGGUGCAAGCUCACAGUGCAAUGCCAAAACUCAUGUUAAAACUGGUCAUGCCUACAGGGUGCUCGAUAGAAUGCCACAUGCACCUAGGCAUCUCUUGGGGUGGCCAAAACUUCCAUAUUGGGGUCUCUUUAGAUGAAUAAGAGGGUGGUAAGGUUGGUUUGCCAAAAGCAGAAACUUGUUAGUGCAAGUUUUGCAAAACUUCAAUUCUGGACAGGAAAUAAAUGACAUUAUUUCAUGAACCAAAAAUAUGCCAAUGGGUGCAUGCUCCUGGACUUAGAGGUUUGGUAGGGCUGUCUACAAGUAGGAGAAAGCACAAGAUCUUUGGAGCAAAAUUAAAUAGGGUUGCAGUAGAAAUCACAAGGCUGGACCAGAAUGAAAAUGAGGUUGAUUCACUCAAAUUUUUCAAAGAACGGCACUAGGUUUUUGCAUAAUGUUGAAUCAUAUGCUACUACCAAUAUCCCAUAAUUUUGGUGGAGGCUAGAAAGAAUUAUUUAAAAGGGUUGUAGUGCAAAUUGCACUCUGGACCAGAGAAGGAAAAUUGAGUGUAGAGCUCAAAAUAUUACAUGAAUAAAAUAUAUUUUUGUAUAAAAGUGAUUUAAAAACAUCACAUGACAUCUCCAAAUUUUGGUUAGAAUUUUAGGUGAAUUUAUCAAAUGGUUGUAGUUCAAAUAUGGCCAUAUAACCUUGAAAAACCAUUUUUCAAGAAAAUAAAGAUCAAGCAAUUUAAUUAGUUAAUUAGUUAUACUGAUAAAAGAAAAGUUUUUCUUGAGAGGUUAAACAAGUCCAAUAACAUAUUUGAAAGGUUUUCACUAUGAGGAAAAACUCCAUAAUAACAAGGGAGAAAAUGGUUCAAAAAAAUAAAAAGGGAGCCUAGAAAAUAAAAGUUUUAAUUCCUGGCAAAAAUUUUAAUUUAAUAAAACAAGGCCAAAAUUUUGGGGUGUCACAAUACUACCCCCCUUAAGAAAAAUCUCGUCCUCGAGAUUUGUUCAAAGCUGUUUUAAGAAAAACUAUACGCAAUAAAAAUAUGGCUACAGUGAGAGGGCAAUAAGUGGUGAAAAACCACAGUGUGAAUACUGGUGCUGCGUGGAAAAAUCUACGGUUCGGGACAAAAUCGUGAGAUUCUACGCUAGAUAUAAAUUUAGAAUAACUCCUAAAUUUAAAUAUAUGCUGGUCGUACCCGAGAGCACAGUGCUCCCUCUGGCUGACAGGUGGACCCGGGGUCCACUGCCAGUCUCUUCUUCUCCCUCUGGUUCUCUCUUCUUCCUCUCUCCCGCGCGCUUUCUCUACCGGCGACGCCUAGCGCGUAGGGCAUUUAGGCCGUACCGUGGUAGUGCGCGGCGUGCUAGCUACCGGGGCAGUGUGCACUCACCUCGCGGGCCAGCGUGAUGUCGGCACUGCUCGCGGAUUCGACUCCGAACACCGGCGAUCGGGCGACGAGCGGUGUUGGUGGACUUCGCCCACCGUACACCGAGCUCGAACUAUAAAAACGGUCGAGGUGUCCCUCUCUUCUUCCUCACACCUAGCCUCACUUCUCCUCCUCCUUCUUUCUCCAUUACUGCUUACAGAAGCUCGGGUGAGGCUCUAAUGGCGGAGGCGAUGCCGGACUGGUUUGUGAUCCUGAUAUUUGGAGGGCUGGCGACACUACUGGGGCUCUCUGUGCUCCUGUGCGCGAUGAUCCUCGACGAUCGUCGCGACGCUGCUGCUCGGGUGUUGGCUCUCCGCGGUGGUGGUGAUCAUGAGGAGUAGAUGGGGUGUGCCGGGUGCUAACUGUUGUUAGGGGGGGCGAUUAGCUGGAUGUAACACCGUUGCAAAGUUUUGCAAACAGUGUAUGUGUUCGAAUGGUAAUGGUUGUGAGUCUGCUGCGUGGUGCUGUGUGAAAUUAAAUAAUCCACGUCGUGAGAAGGGGCAGAUGUAGCAACUCAGGGAAAAGAAAUCUCACUCCAGGAUUUUGCGAGGGAAAAAACAGUUAAUUUAAAGGAGCAUAGACCACAACAAAAACUACACACAUUAGUAGAAACCAAAUAAUUGACUCGUCAUACAAACUCAGGGUAUCACGCAUAAGUCACACACAUAAAUAAAUGUUGCAAUAAUGAACACCGCAGCGACGUCUAGAAUGGAAACGGUAACUGGACGGGGUCCCUAGAAAACAUCUCUGGUACUGGGAUACACUCCUCUUAUAUCGGGGGAAGUGGAUUGACCAGUCGAUGCACGUGUCUCUCCUGGUCGGGCCUUAGUGCUCUGCCGAUGGCGAUCUGAGGAUUUAAAUCUGCGAGGCUCUGGAGAUAACCCAUCACAUGUUGGGUUAAACGCUCUUGAGCGAUGACGUACUGGACAAGGUUGGCCAGGACUGGGUCUCUCUCAAUUCGUCCACCGGGAAAAGAUGUCACUCCUCUGGGUGCUGCACGGCUCGGGAAGUAAUAAUACCCUCGUUCGCUGGCAUAGGGUACCGCGAAUCGAAGGCGAGCAAGCGCUUCGUAUGCAAUAGCUUCUAUCGCCAUAUGUGGGGUUGGCAUAGAUUUCCCCACGAAGGAGACCUCUGUUGGGUCUUGGUUUGAGUUUACGGGAGGGAUGUGCACUGCUGCCCAAUAUCUUGAGGUGGAAGAGGUGAUUCGUGAUUUGAACAGCUCGUACUGGGGUGGCUGGGUAGCGCCCAUGGUACUGCAGGUAAAAUCCCACAAUAUCUUGACAAAACUACCUGGGGUUGCAUCUGGGGUUCUUAGAUAAAUGCUAGGGCUCGGCAUGGCUAGGAGUGGUUGUGAGGAUGGUGCGCAAGGUGAGAGGUUCUUGGCAAGGUCACGCGGUGGCCUUUUAUAGCACUGGAGCUGGGUCAUUUUUACCGAGGUGAAUGGUAAAGAAAAAUUUUCAGCUCUGUUCCAAGGGUCGGGGUCAAGCCACAGAUUCACACAUUUCACUAUAGUGAUGUGUUACUGUGGGGGUUGUCGGGGAAGUUUUUUUUUGGUAACUAUGCCUGGGAUAGAAAUCUUAUACUGCAUACUGGAGUAUCCAGACAUGACUACUAUUAAAACAGAGGCACGUCAACAGGCGGCGCUUAUUUACAAGGUCACACGAUAACAAAGUGAGGGUACACUGGGACUCGACACUACUCGAGUGACUUAGUCUACCUCGUUUACAUCCAAGCGGGCGUGCCUUGUGGAUGUCGAGGCUUCUCUUCGGGUCUCGUCGUUUGAAUUAGCUGGAGUGGGUUGAGGGGCUGCAAGCUCGGGGUAGCGAUGAGGACCAUCUCGGGGAUUGUUGGCCACAAUCCCGUUGGAGUGUGCUCCCAAUAUGCGACGAAGCACCUCUGGGGUUAUCGCAGCACCUUGGCCUAUGGCUGGGGCAGACCUCAGGGACUCGAUCGGGUGUCCAAACAGCACGACUGGGUUGUCGGUUUUGGGCUCGUUUUCUUCUCUCGCCGGGGCUCGACGAACCAGCUCUCCACGAGCGGCGAUUAGAUCAAUAGUGAUUUGAUCGCAUAGUUCCUCUAGUGCACUUACAUAGCGCACUAGGUGCAACAAUGCAGGAUCCGUCUCGUGAUCUCCGUUGGCAACUUGGGGUGGCCUACCAUACCCUUCACGUCUGGGGUAGUAGUGGAACGAGCGACAGUUAACUCUGGGCGACAAGUGCCGGAGAUGAACUAUAGCCUCUCGAGCAGCUUGUUGGAUGGCUUGAAUGUCAAAGGAAGUUGUUCUUCCGGUGAACCUGUAGGGGCGCUCGGGCUCUAGACCCCUACCGUAGAGGUGUACAGUGGCCCAGAAUUGACGGUUCUCACCGCUCAUGGUUCCUUGGUACACAACAUAUUCUGGGGGCUCUUCUAACGCAUAGGCACGACGGGUGAGGUUUGCGAGUAUGGUCACAAAGCCUCCAAGGUUGGUUGCUGUGGUCUCAUUGUGUAUGACAGGUCCAGGCAUUGUGGCUCUGUUUGGGGUAGAGGCUGUGUUGUGCUGUGUUGGGGCUAGCAUGCCCCUUUUUAUAGGAAAAAGGGGACGGAGUCUUCCUUCGCACGCUUGCGAGAAAGGACUAUUUAGGAUUCGAUCACUAGCGCAUGACUGACAGGUUAGGUUGAUAGGUUGGGCACCGACUGCCAAAAAGUGUUGGGUCACUGUGUGGCUAUCUUGCACGAGAAGCUUGGCUGGGGUUUGGUUAUGGUUUGGUGGGUUGGUUUGCCUAAGUUUAUAGACCCAGCUAAGAUAGGAUUAGCCAAUGGUCAGCCUGGCUCUGAUACCAAGUCUGUCACGACCGGUUUUCUGGACAUAAAUUUACAGAAAAUGGCUGUUGUGCUCACCAGCCCCAGGAUUACUGUUAGCUGAUGAGGCACCAACUUGUUACAGAAAUUCCAAGCAAAAGUACAAAAUGUGUAGUACAAGACCAUUGUGGCCUAUGAGUACAUCAAAUGGUUUUCUAGUGGUCGAUGACGGAAGCGGUUUGUGGAUCAUCAGUGUAUGGGACUCCAUUUCCCACGGGAACAGCUGACCAGGUUAACUCCUAUCUUCGCGAGGCUGCUAUCACCGUUGCUUAGUUUCCGGGGCUGUCACCGCGACGCUCCUCUCCAUGCAGAAAUCUGGCCAAGACAAUAGCCAGGGACAAGCCAGUGAGUACUUUAAAUGUACUCGCAAACAUUAUGAACACUGGGAUAAUAUAAUUGAUAAUCAUGCACUGAAAUAUUCUAUGAUCACAUCGUCAGUCACAAAUAACAUAUCUUUUAUGCAUGCAAGCAGGUUAUUUAUAUGCAACAUGAAUAAGCAAUAAUGGAGUGGGAAAUAAAAUGCCGCAGUCGGGCGUCUGUGCGACACCACAUAAAGGGCUUACAAAGUAAAUAAAUAACAAGCAAUGCCAUAGUUGGGCGUCUGAGCGACACCACAUAAAGGGCUUAAAAAGAAAUGCCACAGUCGGGCGUCUAAGCGACACCACAUAAAGGGCUUAAAAGAAAUGCCACAGUCGGGCGUCUGAGCGACACCACAUAAAGGGCUUAAAAAGAAAUGUCACAGUCAGGCGUCUAAGCGACACCACAUAAAGGGCUUAAAAGAAAUGCCACAGUUGGGCGUCUGAGCGACACCACAUAAAGGGCUUAAAAAGAAAUGCCACAGUCGGGCGUCUAAGCGACACCACAUAAAGGGCUUAAAAAGAAAUGCCACAGUCGGGCGUCUGAGCGACACCACAUAAAAGGGCUUGAGAAUAAAUAAUCACAAUGAAUAUCCAGGAGGUAGAACCAUCCCAGGGAUACUCGAUAAUACAAUAAUGCAACGGGUUAGUCCAUCAUAAAAUAAUAAUCAUGGUUCUCACAAGUCACCAGUCGGUAUCCAAGUUUGGUUUAACAAUUUCACCUCCAAAGACCGGCAUUAAGACCAACACUUGACCCAUCCCAGACUGUAAUCCUUAACCGUGGACACGGCUAUUCGAAUAGGUUUAAUCUCUGCAGAGGGUGUACUCUUUACCCACGAGUAACGGAUUCCUUUAUUCCAUCGGGACUAAUUCCGUCUACGGCCUUUUAGUUGAAAACACGCCUAACUUGCACACACCAGCUUAACUCAUCGGUGUCUGGAAUCACCCACGACACUUGUUAAGCAAAACUCUAAGUGGGGAGGCUACAACCUCGCGUAGCAUGGGAUCAAAUUUAUAUCGCGCGCUCUAAGGGGUGGCCUCCCCUCUCGGUCCCAACCGGAAACACCCAUGCCCCCUGACCAGGUAGCAUGCCUACCGGCUACAACCGAUGUCUUCCACCAUGGCCUCUCUGUACGGUGUGUGCUGGAAAGGGGUUGACGACUUACUGAACCGUACCCUACCUGCGGCAGGGACGAGUGGUAGUACGAGGCAAGUAUGGGGGUUACUGGAACAAGACUCGAUCUGCGGCCGACUCAGGAGGUUUAUAAGUUCCCUGCAUGACAUGUAUAUCAAAUAUAUUUCAACCGAAGAAAUCACCACUCAAUGUACCUUACCAUGCCAUACCGGACAUAACCGUCCCGACGGGGACCGGCGACAAGCUCACACCUACCCAAGGCCGACGCUUUCCCAGAUUCCUUUCCGGCAUGCAUGCAAGGCACAUGAGGAUGAUUACCAUCACAAUAAUAUUCAUUUCCAACAGCAAGGAAAUCACGGAUAUGCUUCCAUGCAAAUGAUCAUGUCACAUGAAAUUACAAGUCCUCCGAAGUAAGGUGGUGUUAUAAACGUGUCAAAUAACACACCAAAAACAUUAUGCCAGGGUUCAGAAUGCUUGCCUUUAAGUUGUGGAGGGGUGAGGUGCUCUCCAAAACUUUUGAAAGUUUCUUCUCUCUCUCCAAAAUCCUAUUUUAAAAUAUAUUUGAAUUAACACACAUUUCAAAAACAGUACAAAAAAGUUGUUUGGAAAAUUUUCAAAUAAAUCUUAAAAUAAACUAGACCAAAU